RNAcentral lists this ribosomal RNA (380 nucleotides) under uncultured bacterium. RNAcentral describes it as "bacterial SSU rRNA". It matches the Rfam family "Bacterial small subunit ribosomal RNA", at positions 28 to 409 of the family's 1533-position model. The record is from RNAcentral.
GACGAACGCUGGCGGCGUGCUUAACACAUGCAAGUCGAGCGGUAAGGCCCUUUCGGGGGUACACGAGCGGCGAACGGGUGAGUAACACGUGGGUGACCUGCCCUCAGCUCUGGGAUAAGCCUGGGAAACCGGGUCUAAUACCGGAUAUGACUCCAUGACGCAUGUUGUGGGGUGGAAAGCCUUGUGCGGCUGAGGAUGGGCCCGCGGCCUAUCAGCUUGUUGGUGGGGNGAUGGCCUACCAAGGCGACGACGGGUAGCCGGCCUGAGAGGGCGACCGGCCACACUGGGACUGAGACACGGCCCAGACUCCUACGGGAGGCAGCAGUGGGGAAUCUUGCGCAAUGGGCGAAAGCCUGACGCAGCGACGCCGCGUGAGGGAU